This is a non-coding RNA of Pelobates cultripes (western spadefoot toad), 595 nucleotides long. Lineage: Eukaryota; Metazoa; Chordata; Amphibia; Anura; Pelobatidae. The record is from the annotation of a GenBank genome assembly.
GGCAGUGGGGAGGAUUUUGUGUGGGAGUGUAUGAGUGUAUUUUACAUGUUUAUUGGUUGUUUUCCAAAACCCUGUGGGUGGUACUAAUGUGUAUAUAAGAACAAUAAACCCACAGCUCUGCCAGUUCCUGUUUUGACCCUCAACACGGAGCCUUGUCUCAUUCUUUUGGGGGGGAUUUAUUGGAUGCUGUUAAAGUUCGACUGCUAGGAGUGUAAACCUUUCGUAUGGUUUUUCCUAUUCGGCUGUUUAUGGCAUUCACAUGCUUCUCCGGUUCGGUGGAUUGGUGUCUACAGUAGAUGUGCCUGGGUCUCUGGAUCUACUAAACAACGGCUUUUAACCCCUUUUUAUGCCUGGGGGUGCCAUUACAAUUGGUGGCAAGCGGUGGGAUCAUUUCCACAGCCCAGAAGGGCAGCUACAAGGAAACACCAUUCUCUGGAUUUACAAAUUGAGGGCAACGCAUGUAUGAGUACAGCGACCCUGACAGCAGCAGGAUGGAACCAGCAGUUUUAUAUGUUGAGGGUGUCAUGGACGAUCGAGAUGCAGUCCGCAAAGGCAUCUGGUACCAGGAAGCGAGGGACUCCCCAGUGAGGAGCAG